GUCCACGCCCUAAACGAUGUCUACUAGUUGUUGGAGGAGUGAAAUCCUUCAGUAACGCAGCUAACGCGUGAAGUAGACCGCCUGGGGAGUACGGUCGCAAGAUUAAAACUCAAAGGAAUUGACGGGGCCCGCACAAGCGGUGGAUUAUGUGGAUUAAUUCGAUGCAACGCGAAAACCUUACCUGGCCUUGACAUGCCACUAACGAAGCAGAGAUGCAUUAGGUGCUCGAAAGAGAAAGUGGACACAGGUGCUGCAUGGCUGUCGU
This 265-nucleotide ribosomal RNA is filed under the name uncultured bacterium. Its description in RNAcentral is "partial 16S ribosomal RNA". It matches the Rfam family "Bacterial small subunit ribosomal RNA", at positions 793 to 1055 of the family's 1533-position model. The record is from RNAcentral.